UUGUUUGGAGAGUUUGAUUCUGGCUCAGGACGAACGCUGGCGGCGUGCUUAACACAUGCAAGUCGAACGGAAAGGCCCUUCGGGGUACUCGAGUGGCGAACGGGUGAGUAACACGUGGGUGAUCUGCCCUGCACUUUGGGAUAAGCCUGGGAAACUGGGUCUAAUACCGAAUAGGACUCCGCGCUUCAUGGCGUGGGGUGGAAAGCUUUUGCGGUGUGGGAUGGGCCCGCGGCCUAUCAGCUUGUUGGUGGGGUAAUGGCCUACCAAGGCGACGACGGGUAGCCGGCCUGAGAGGGUGUCCGGCCACACUGGGACUGAGAUACGGCCCAGACUCCUACGGGAGGCAGCAGUGGGGAAUAUUGCACAAUGGGCGCAAGCCUGAUGCAGCGACGCCGCGUGAGGGAUGACGGCCUUCGGGUUGUAAACCUCUUUCAGUAGGGACGAAGCGCAAGUGACGGUACCUAUAGAAGAAGGACCGGCCAACUACGUGCCAGCAGCCGCGGUAAUACGUAGGGUCCGAGCGUUGUCCGGAAUUACUGGGCGUAAAGAGCUCGUAGGUGGUUUGUCGCGUUGUUCGUGAAAACUCACAGCUUAACUGUGGGCGUGCGGGCGAUACGGGCAGACUUGAGUACUGCAGGGGAGACUGGAAUUCCUGGUGUAGCGGUGGAAUGCGCAGAUAUCAGGAGGAACACCGGUGGCGAAGGCGGGUCUCUGGGCAGUAACUGACGCUGAGGAGCGAAAGCGUGGGGAGCGAACAGGAUUAGAUACCCUGGUAGUCCACGCCGUAAACGGUGGGUACUAGGUGUGGGUUUCCUUCCUUGGGAUCCGUGCCGUAGCUAACGCAUUAAGUACCCCGCCUGGGGAGUACGGCCGCAAGGCUAAAACUCAAAGAAAUUGACGGGGGCCCGCACAAGCGGCGGAGCAUGUGGAUUAAUUCGAUGCAACGCGAAGAACCUUACCUGGGUUUGACAUGCACAGGACGCCGGCAGAGAUGUCGGUUCCCUUGUGGCCUGUGUGCAGGUGGUGCAUGGCUGUCGUCAGCUCGUGUCGUGAGAUGUUGGGUUAAGUCCCGCAACGAGCGCAACCCUUGUCUCAUGUUGCCAGCACGUAAUGGUGGGGACUCGUGAGAGACUGCCGGGGUCAACUCGGAGGAAGGUGGGGAUGACGUCAAGUCAUCAUGCCCCUUAUGUCCAGGGCUUCACACAUGCUACAAUGGCCGGUACAAAGGGCUGCGAUGCCGUGAGGUGGAGCGAAUCCUUUCAAAGCCGGUCUCAGUUCGGAUCGGGGUCUGCAACUCGACCCCGUGAAGUCGGAGUCGCUAGUAAUCGCAGAUCAGCAACGCUGCGGUGAAUACGUUCCCGGGCCUUGUACACACCGCCCGUCACGUCAUGAAAGUCGGUAACACCCGAAGCCGGUGGCCUAACCCCUUGUGGGAGGGAGCCGUCGAAGGUGGGAUCGGCGAUUGGGACGAAGUCGUAACAAGGUAGCCGUACCGGAAGGUGCGGCUGGAUCACCUCCUUUCUAA
This 1525-nucleotide ribosomal RNA is filed under the name Mycolicibacterium sp. P1-5. RNAcentral describes it as "bacterial SSU rRNA". It matches the Rfam family "Bacterial small subunit ribosomal RNA". Lineage: Bacteria; Bacillati; Actinomycetota; Actinomycetes; Mycobacteriales; Mycobacteriaceae. The record is from RNAcentral.